Molecule: non-coding RNA, 72 nt
Organism: Parelaphostrongylus tenuis
Lineage: Eukaryota; Metazoa; Nematoda; Chromadorea; Rhabditida; Metastrongylidae
Source: the annotation of a GenBank genome assembly
GCCUCUGUGGAGUAGUGGUAGCACGCGCCCCCUUUCUGGGUGGAACGCGGGUUCAACUCCCGCCUGAGGUCA